RNAcentral lists this ribosomal RNA (465 nucleotides) under Vreelandella stevensii. RNAcentral's name for it is "partial 16S ribosomal RNA". It matches the Rfam family "Bacterial small subunit ribosomal RNA", at positions 338 to 795 of the family's 1533-position model. Lineage: Bacteria; Pseudomonadati; Pseudomonadota; Gammaproteobacteria; Oceanospirillales; Halomonadaceae. The record is from RNAcentral.
CCUACGGGUGGCAGCAGUGGGGAAUAUUGGACAAUGGGGGCAACCCUGAUCCAGCCAUGCCGCGUGUGUGAAGAAGGCCCUCGGGUUGUAAAGCACUUUCAGUGAGGAAGAACGCCUGGUGGUUAAUACCCAUCAGGAAAGACAUCACUCACAGAAGAAGCACCGGCUAACUCCGUGCCAGCAGCCGCGGUAAUACGGAGGGUGCGAGCGUUAAUCGGAAUUACUGGGCGUAAAGCGCGCGUAGGUGGCUUGAUAAGCCGGUUGUGAAAGCCCCGGGCUCAACCUGGGAACGGCAUCCGGAACUGUCAAGCUAGAGUGCAGGAGAGGAAGGUAGAAUUCCCGGUGUAGCGGUGAAAUGCGUAGAGAUCGGCAGGAAUACCAGUGGCGAAGGCGGCCUUCUGGACUGACACUGACACUGAGGUGCGAAAGCGUGGGUAGCAAACAGGAUUAGAUACCCUAGUAGUC